This 497-nucleotide ribosomal RNA is filed under the name uncultured bacterium. RNAcentral describes it as "partial 16S ribosomal RNA". It matches the Rfam family "Bacterial small subunit ribosomal RNA", at positions 28 to 507 of the family's 1533-position model. The record is from RNAcentral.
GACGAACGCUGGCGGCGUGCCUAAUACAUGCAAGUUGAGCGCUGAAGGUUGGUACUUGUACCGACUGGAUGAGCAGCGAACGGGUGAGUAACGCGUGGGUAAUCUGCCUUUGAGCGGGGGACCACAUUUGGAAACGAAUGCUAAUACCGCAUAAAAACUUUAAACACAAGUUUUAAGUUUGAAAGAUGCAAUUGCAUCACUCAAAGAUGAUCCCGCGUUGUAUUAGCUAGUUGGUGAGGUAAAGGCUCACCAAGGCGAUGAUACAUAGCCGACCUGAGAGGGUGAUCGGCCACAUUGGGACUGAGACACGGCCCAAACUCCGACGGGAGGCAGCAGUAGGGAAUCUUCGGCAAUGGACGAAAGUCUGACCGAGCAACGCCGCGUGAGUGAAGAAGGUUUUCGGAUCGUAAAACUCUGUUGGUAGAGAAGAACGUUGGUGAGAGUGGAAAGCUCAUCAAGUGACGGUAACUACCCAGAAAGGGACGGCUAACUACGUG